GAAAAAUUAAUGUACAAAUUCAAAUGGAACCACAAUAUACCACAAAUAGCCAAAGCAAUCCUCAGGAGAGAGAACAGUGCUGGGGUGUAAUUAUUCUACAGAGCUAUAGUGACAAAGACACACUGGCAUAAAAAUAAAAGGAAGAGGCUGGUGAUUGAUGGUGGUGCAUGCCUUUAAUCCCAGCACUCAGGAUCUCCGAGUUCAAGGCCAGCCUGGUUUAUAGAGUGAGUUCUAGGACAGUCAGGGCUACACAGAGAAAUCCUGUCUUGGGGUGGUGGGGGGAGAAAAGAAGACCAAUGGAACAGAAUAGAGGCAAAAUGGCAAAUUCCCACCAAAUUCAUGACAAAGAAGGCAGAAAGAUACUUUUAGAAAACACCCUCCCCACCCCCACCCUGCUUCUCUGUCCCUCUUCUCUGGUUCUUUCUCUCUCCCCUUUCCCCCUUCUCUUCUUCCCUUUCCCUUCAAUAAACUAAAAUAAGAGAGAAAGAAAGAAAGAAAAAAGAUGGCCUGCUCAACAGAUGGUGCUGACAAAUUAGUUUUUUUAUUUUUUUGUUUUUUUGAGACAGGGUUUCUCUGUGUAGCUUUGGAGGCUGUCCUGGAACUCACUCUGGAGACCAGGCUGGCCUCGAACUCAUAGAGAUCCGCCUGCCUCUGCCUCCCGAGUGCUGGGAUUAAAGAUGGGAUUAGAUUCGUUUACCUUGAACAAAAAUCAAUUCAAAAUAGAUCAAAGACCUUAACUUAAAACUAGAAACACUGAAACUUCUAGCAGAAAGCACAACAGAGUAGUACCCUUCAAGAUACUGGAAUAGGCACAAACUGUUUUUUUGAGAGGGGGUUCCUCAACUCACUCUGUAGAUCAGGCUGUUCUGGAACUCAAAGAGUUCCACCUGCCUCUGUUUCCCAGCUGCUGAGAUACCAUAUUACUAUGGUAAUAACUUUUUAAAUAGAACACCAGCAGCACAGGAAGUAACCCCAGUAUCAAUAGAUACAGGAGUAUAAAAAGUUUCUCUACAGAAAAGGACAUUAUCAGCAGAGUUAACAGACAGCCCAGAGUGGGAGAAAAUCUUAACUAGUUACACUUCAGAUAUAGGCUGAAGUGUAGAAUUUACAAAGAAAGCAGAAAUUAAAUACCCAGAGAAUAAAACUGUCAAUCAACACAUGGGCAAAUGAACUGAAUAGAGAGAAAAAAUGAAGGAAGGAAGGAAGGAAGGAAGGAUGGAAGGAAGGAAGGAAGAAAAGAAAAAGGUUCACUAUCCCUAGUCCCUAGGAAAAUGCAAGUUAAAACUAUUGCUGUGAAAUACCACUCUAGUCAUCAUGGCUAUCAUGCAAAAAUCUGAUGAUAAAUGUUGGAGAAAAUGUGGAAAGAAUUGAAACCAUCACCUGUUACGAUAAAUCUUUCUGCCAAAAGCUGUCUGAGCCCCACCGCCACAUGUGAGCUUUAUGCCAGCCACCCGCCCGAGUUAGGCCCAAAUGAAUACACAGAGAGACUUGUAUUAGUCACAAAGCUGCUUGGCCAAU
This 1518-nucleotide long non-coding RNA is filed under the name Cricetulus griseus (Chinese hamster). RNAcentral's name for it is "lncRNA (ENSCGRG00015036724.1)". The record is from RNAcentral. Lineage: Eukaryota; Metazoa; Chordata; Mammalia; Rodentia; Cricetidae.